Molecule: ribosomal RNA, 348 nt
Filed under: uncultured bacterium
Lineage: Bacteria
Description: bacterial SSU rRNA
Rfam family: Bacterial small subunit ribosomal RNA
Source: RNAcentral
GGCUCAGAACGAACGCUGGCGGCGCGCUUAAUACAUGCAAGUCGAGCGAGAACCGGAGCUUCGGCUCCGGGGACAGCGGCGAACGGGUGAGUAACACGUGGGUAACCUGCCCUCGGCACCGGGAUAGCCCGGGGAAACCCGGAUUAAUACCGGAUGGCCCUUUCGGUCUUUGGACCGGUCGGGAAAGGUAGCUUCGGCCUCCGGCCGAGGAGGAGCCCGCGGCGGAUUAGCUUGUUGGUGGGGUAACGGCUCACCAAGGCAACGAUGGGUAGCUGGUCUGAGAGGACGAUCAGCCACACUGGGACUGAGACACGGCCCAGACUCCUACGGGAGGCAGCAGUGGGAUCU